CCAAUAGCGUAUAUUAAAGUUGUUGCAGUUAAAAAGCUCGUAGUUGAAUUUCGGGGUCAGUAGUUUGGUCGUGCCAAUGGUAUGUACUGGGCUCACUGAUUCCUCCUUCCUGAUGAACUGUAAUGCCAUUAAUUUGGUGUUGCAGGGAAACUGGACUGUUACUUUGAAAAAAUUAGAGUGUUUAAAGCAAGCUAACGCUUGAAUACAUUAGCAUGGAAUAAUGACAUAGGACGUUCGAUCCUAUUUCGUUGGUUUCUAGGAUUGACGUAAUGAUUAAUAGGGAUAGUUGGGGGCAUUAGUAUUCAAUUGUCAGAGGUGAAAUUCUUGGAUUUAUUGAAGACUAACUACUGCGAAAGCAUUUGCCAAGGAUGUUUUCAUUAAUCAAGAACGAAAGUUAGGGGAUCGAAGACGAUCAGAUACCGUCGUAGUCUUAACCAUAAACUAUGCCGACUAGGGAUCGGAUGAUGUUAAUUUUUUAAUGACUCAUUCGGCGCCUUACG
RNAcentral lists this ribosomal RNA (500 nucleotides) under uncultured Glomeromycotina. Its description in RNAcentral is "partial small subunit ribosomal RNA". It matches the Rfam family "Eukaryotic small subunit ribosomal RNA", at positions 591 to 1092 of the family's 1831-position model. The record is from RNAcentral. Lineage: Eukaryota; Fungi; Glomeromycota.